UGUGGGACAACCCAGUGAAACUUGGGCUAAUACCGCAUAACCCCUGAGGGGGAAAGCGGGGGAUCUUCGCACCUCCCGCUGGAAGAGGAGCCUACGUCUGAUUACCUACUUGGUAGGCUUAGGGCCUACCAAGACGACGAUCGGUAGCUGGUCUGAUGAGGACGACCACCCACACUGGUACCUGAGGCACCGCCCAGACUCCUACGGGAGGCAGCGCUGGGGAGUUUUUCCCAAUGGGGGCGACCCUGACGAAGCAAUGCCUCGUGAAUGAAGAAGGCCUUCGGGUUGUAAAGUUCUUUCGUGGAGGAACGAAAAGGGGGAUGCUAAUAACACCUGCCGUUGAAAUACAUCCAAGAAAAGCACCGGCUAACUCCGUGCCAGCAGCCGCGGUAAUACGA
Molecule: ribosomal RNA, 398 nt
Filed under: uncultured bacterium
Lineage: Bacteria
Description: bacterial SSU rRNA
Rfam family: Bacterial small subunit ribosomal RNA
Source: RNAcentral